CGCUUCGGUCCGGAGUUGAUGGGUUAUCGUACUUUUCACUACAUCCGGUUUCCUUGUCAAACCAAUACCGUUCUCUCGGGAACAAAACCUUUUCUCGUGUUCUGUUGAAGAACACAAGACCCUUCCCAUCAACACCAACUUUACUGAAGU
This 150-nucleotide small RNA is filed under the name Caenorhabditis briggsae. RNAcentral describes it as "snoRNA CBG29635". It matches the Rfam family "Nematode sRNA ceN72-3_ceN74-2". Lineage: Eukaryota; Metazoa; Nematoda; Chromadorea; Rhabditida; Rhabditidae. The record is from Rfam by way of RNAcentral.